GGAUGAACGCUGGCGGCGUGCCUAAUACAUGCAAGUCGAACGCAUAGCGAAAGGUGCUUGCACCUUUCAAGUGAGUGGCGAACGGGUGAGUAACACGUGGACAACCUGCCUCAAGGCUGGGGAUAACAUUUGGAAACAGAUGCUAAUACCGAAUAAAACUUAGUGUCGCAUGACACAAAGUUAAAAGGCGCUUCGGCGUCACCUAGAGAUGGAUCCGCGGUGCAUUAGUUAGUUGGUGGGGUAAAGGCCUACCAAGACAAUGAUGCAUAGCCGAGUUGAGAGACUGAUCGGCCACAUUGGGACUGAGACACGGCCCAAACUCCUACGGGAGGCUGCAGUAGGGAAUCUUCCACAAUGGGCGAAAGCCUGAUGGAGCAACGCCGCGUGUGUGAUGAAGGCUUUCGGGUCGUAAAGCACUGUUGUAUGGGAAGAACAGCUAGAAUAGGAAAUGAUUUUAGUUUGACGGUACCAUACCAGAAAGGGACGGCUAAAUACGUG
This 498-nucleotide ribosomal RNA is filed under the name uncultured bacterium. RNAcentral describes it as "partial 16S ribosomal RNA". It matches the Rfam family "Bacterial small subunit ribosomal RNA", at positions 27 to 507 of the family's 1533-position model. The record is from RNAcentral.